AUCCAGCUGACGAGUCCCAAAUAGGAUGAAAUGUACAUCAUUAGAU
This 46-nucleotide non-coding RNA is filed under the name Schistosoma curassoni. Lineage: Eukaryota; Metazoa; Platyhelminthes; Trematoda; Strigeidida; Schistosomatidae. The record is from RNAcentral.